GCAGUCUCUGAGCAGGAUGGUCAAAAUUUAGCUGAGAAGGAAGGACUGUCAUUUCUUGAGACAUCGGCAUUGGAAGCAGUCAACGUAGAUAAGGCUUUUCAGACUAUACUAACCGAGAUAUACCAUAUCAUAAGCAAGAAGGCGCUGGCUGCACAAGCAGCAGCCACAACCACUACUCUUCCUGGUCAGGGUACAACCAUCAAUGUUAAUGACACCUCUGAUAAUGUGAAGAGAGGCUGCUGUUCUACCUG
This 251-nucleotide unclassified non-coding RNA is filed under the name Hevea brasiliensis (rubber tree). The record is from RNAcentral. Lineage: Eukaryota; Viridiplantae; Streptophyta; Magnoliopsida; Malpighiales; Euphorbiaceae.